Molecule: ribosomal RNA, 468 nt
Filed under: uncultured bacterium
Lineage: Bacteria
Description: partial 16S ribosomal RNA
Rfam family: Bacterial small subunit ribosomal RNA
Source: RNAcentral
GACGAACGCUGGCGGCGUGCUUAACACAUACAAGUCGAACGGACAGGCCCUGCUUUUGUGGGGUGCUCGUGUGGCGAACGGGUGAGUAACACGUGAGUAACCUGCCCUUGACUUUGGGAUAACUUCAGGAAACUGGGGCUAAUAUAGGAUAGGAGCUCCUGCUCCAUGGUGGGGGUUGGUAAGUUUCGGCGGUUGGGGCUGGACUCGCGGGUUAUCCGCUUGUUUGUGGGGUAGUGGCUUACAAAGGCUUUGAAGGGUAGCCGGCCUGAGAGGGUGACCGGCCACAUUGGGACUGAGAUAGGGCCCAGACUCCUACGGGAGGCAGCAGUGGGGAAUAUUGCACAAUGGGCGGAAGCCUGAUGCAGCAACGCCGCGUGCGGGAUGACGGCCUUCGGGUUGUAAACCGCUUUCGCCUGUGACGAAGCGUUAGUGACGGUAAUGGGUAAAGAAGCACCGGCUAACUACGUG